RNAcentral lists this ribosomal RNA (253 nucleotides) under uncultured bacterium. RNAcentral's name for it is "partial 16S ribosomal RNA". It matches the Rfam family "Bacterial small subunit ribosomal RNA", at positions 524 to 776 of the family's 1533-position model. The record is from RNAcentral.
UACGUAGGUGGCAAGCGUUACUCGGAAUUACUAGGCGUAAAGCGCAGGUAGGUGGUGCGAUAAGUCCGUAAUGAAAUCUCCCGGCUUAACUGGGAGGGGUUUAGGGAUACUGUCGUGCUUGAGUGUGGGAGAGGUAACUGGAAUUCCUGGUGUAGCGGUGAAAUGUGUAGAUAUCGUAAGGAAGACCAGUGGCGAAGGCGGGUCUCUGGACAGUUCCUGACGCUGAGGCACGAAGGCCAGGGGAGCAAACGGG